Trichonephila inaurata madagascariensis is the source of this 73-nucleotide non-coding RNA. NCBI's taxonomy places the organism in Eukaryota, Metazoa, Arthropoda, Arachnida, Araneae, Nephilidae. The record is from the annotation of a GenBank genome assembly.
GUGUCUGUAGCACAAUGGAUAGUGCAUUGGACUUCCGUUCCUAAGGGCGUGAGUUCGAGCCUCACCUGGUAUG